AUUGAACGCUAGCGGCAUGCCUUACACAUGCAAGUCGAACGGCAGCACGGGAGCAAUCCUGGUGGCGAGUGGCGAACGGGUGAGUAAUAUAUCGGAACGUGCCCAGUCGUGGGGGAUAACGUAGAGAAAUUUACACUAAUACCGCAUACGAUCUACGGAUGAAAGCGGGGGAUCGCAAGACCUCGCGCGAUUGGAGCGGCUGAUAUCAGAUUAGGUUGUCGGUGAGGUAAAAGCUCACCAAGCCGACGAUCUGUAGCUGGUUUGAGAGAACGACCAGCCACACUGGGACUGAGACACGGCCCAGACUCCUACGGGAGGCAGCAGUGGGGAAUUUUGGACAAUGGGCGAAAGCCUGAUCCAGCAAUGCCGCGUGCAGGACGAAGGCCUUCGGGUUGUAAACUGCUUUUGUACGGAACGAAACAGUCUUUUCUAAUACAGGAGGCUAAUGACGGUACCGUAAGAAUAAGCACCGGCUAACUACGUGCCAGCCGCCGCGGUAA
RNAcentral lists this ribosomal RNA (500 nucleotides) under uncultured bacterium. RNAcentral describes it as "partial 16S ribosomal RNA". It matches the Rfam family "Bacterial small subunit ribosomal RNA", at positions 30 to 523 of the family's 1533-position model. The record is from RNAcentral.